GACGAACGCUGGCGGCAUGCCUAACACAUGCAAGUCGAGCGAGCUGAUUCCUUCGGGAUGAAGCUAGCGGCGGACGGGUGAGUAACACGUGGGCAACCUGCCUCAUAGAGGGGAAUAGCCUUCCGAAAGGAAGAUUAAUACCGCAUAAGAUUGCAUCUUCGCAUGAAGAAGCAAUUAAAGGAGCAAUCCGCUAUGAGAUGGGCCCGCGGCGCAUUAGCUAGGUGGUGAGGUAACGGCUCACCAAGGCGACGAUGCGUAGCCGACCUGAGAGGGUGAUCGGCCACAUUGGGACUGAGACACGGCCCAGACUCCUACGGGAGGCAGCAGUGGGGAAUAUUGCACAAUGGGGGAAACCCUGAUGCAGCAAUGCCGCGUGAGUGAUGACGGCCUUCGGGUUGUAAAGCUCUGUCUUCGGGGACGAUAAUGACGGUACCCGAGGAGGAAGCCACGGCUAACUACGUGCCAGCCGCCGCAGUAA
This 478-nucleotide ribosomal RNA is filed under the name uncultured bacterium. RNAcentral's name for it is "partial 16S ribosomal RNA". It matches the Rfam family "Bacterial small subunit ribosomal RNA", at positions 28 to 523 of the family's 1533-position model. The record is from RNAcentral.